GCAAAGCGUUGUUCCUAUUGCAGGGUGACAGAGGGAACCCAGGACCUCCCGGCUUGCCGGGAUCAAGGGGGGCAAGAGGACCAGCGGGCCCUAUGGGACAUCCAGGAGAGCCCGGGUUAGCUGGUGCUCCAGGCCAUCCUGGGAGACCGGGCUUGAAGGGCAAUCCUGGCGUGGGAGUAAAGGGGCAAAUGGGAGACCCGGUAAGAAUCCCCUUUUGCCUG
Ursus americanus (American black bear) is the source of this 221-nucleotide long non-coding RNA. The record is from Ensembl. Lineage: Eukaryota; Metazoa; Chordata; Mammalia; Carnivora; Ursidae.